GAUGAACGCUGGCGGCGUGCCUAAUACAUGCAAGUCGAGCGAACAGAUAAGGAGCUUGCUCCUUUGACGUUAGCGGCGGACGGGUGAGUAACACGUGGGUAACCUACCUAUAAGACUGGGAUAACUUCGGGAAACCGGAGCUAAUACCGGAUAACAUUUGGAACCGCAUGGUUCUAAAGUGAAAGAUGGUUUUGCUAUCACUUAUAGAUGGACCCGCGCCGUAUUAGCUAGUUGGUAAGGUAACGGCUUACCAAGGCGACGAUACGUAGCCGACCUGAGAGGGUGAUCGGCCACACUGGAACUGAGACACGGUCCAGACUCCUACGGGAGGCAGCAGUAGGGAAUCUUCCGCAAUGGGCGAAAGCCUGACGGAGCAACGCCGCGUGAGUGAUGAAGGGUUUCGGCUCGUAAAACUCUGUUAUUAGGGAAGAACAAAUGUGUAAGUAACUAUGCACGUCUUGACGGUACCUAAUCAGAAAGCCACGGCUAACUACGUG
Molecule: ribosomal RNA, 497 nt
Filed under: uncultured bacterium
Lineage: Bacteria
Description: partial 16S ribosomal RNA
Rfam family: Bacterial small subunit ribosomal RNA
Source: RNAcentral